CCUACGAGGCUGCAGUGGGGAAUAUUGGACAAUGGGCGAAAGCCUGAUCCAGCCAUGCCGCGUGUGUGAAGAAGGCCUUCGGGUUGUAAAGCACUUUCAGUGGGGAAGAAAGCCUUGGGGCUAAUACCCUCGAGGAAGGACAUCACCCACAGAAGAAGCACCGGCUAACUCCGUGCCAGCAGCCGCGGUAAUACGGAGGGUGCGAGCGUUAAUCGGAAUUACUGGGCGUAAAGCGCGCGUAGGCGGUCUGAUAAGCCGGUUGUGAAAGCCCCGGGCUCAACCUGGGAACGGCAUCCGGAACUGUCAGGCUAGAGUGCAGGAGAGGAAGGUAGAAUUCCCGGUGUAGCGGUGAAAUGCGUAGAGAUCGGGAGGAAUACCAGUGGCGAAGGCGGCCUUCUGGACUGACACUGACGCUGAGGUGCGAAAGCGUGGGUAGCAAACAGGAUUAGAUACCCCUGUAGUC
This 463-nucleotide ribosomal RNA is filed under the name Vreelandella stevensii. RNAcentral's name for it is "partial 16S ribosomal RNA". It matches the Rfam family "Bacterial small subunit ribosomal RNA", at positions 338 to 795 of the family's 1533-position model. The record is from RNAcentral. Lineage: Bacteria; Pseudomonadati; Pseudomonadota; Gammaproteobacteria; Oceanospirillales; Halomonadaceae.